This 305-nucleotide long non-coding RNA is filed under the name Oryza brachyantha (malo sina). RNAcentral describes it as "long non-coding RNA (OBRA_LNC003307)". Lineage: Eukaryota; Viridiplantae; Streptophyta; Magnoliopsida; Poales; Poaceae. The record is from RNAcentral.
UCUUGGAAGAAGAAGACGACGACGAAGGGCCGGAGGCGGAGGCAGCGGGUGAGUGCGCGGCGCCGGAGCUAGAGAAGGACGGCGCCGCCGCCGGGGACUGGGAGGUCACCGUGGAGGCGGAGGCGGCGGCGAGCAGCAGGAGGAGCGCAGGGAGGAGGCGAGCCAUGGCAGUGAGCGAGAGCCUAGGAGAAGUGCAAGCUGAAGCUGGUCCUGGUCACUCUCACUCUCAGUCUCUCACUCUCACUCCACAAGGAGAGGAAAUAAAAACCAGUGAUGCAGUGGCCACUGAGGAGUGGUGAGAACUG